GGCUACUAGACUUAGGUGUAAUACUGUGUGCAUCAAGCUAUUGCUGAUCACGGUGAGUUUCACAUUAUGGUCCUCUUGAUUGAUGACUUUUCGGGAUGUUUUUUCUGUUAGUUCUCAUGCGAUUCGGUGGUGUCUUCAGUACAGAUGCUUGAUGCCUUGGUUGGUUCGAUUUAUGGUUGCUCUCUUAUGUGUGGUCGGACAUAUUUGAUUCUGCUUGGUUGAUGGGCAUGAAAGAAUCAAGUCAUGAAGUCGGAAGCAUUAGGUGUAAAAACAAAAUUUGCUAUAAUUAUUAGCAUGAGAAGGUUAACAACAUGAAGGUACAAAUCAUCUUAUACUAUAUAAAAUUGUACUUUGCACAGGUACAGUAUUGAGGCA
This 375-nucleotide long non-coding RNA is filed under the name Sorghum bicolor (sorghum). RNAcentral's name for it is "long non-coding RNA (SBIC_LNC004272)". Lineage: Eukaryota; Viridiplantae; Streptophyta; Magnoliopsida; Poales; Poaceae. The record is from RNAcentral.